AGGGAUCAUUACUGAGUUUACGCUCUACAACCCUUUGUGACAUACCUAUAACUGUUGCUUCGGCGGGUAGGGUCUCCGUGACCCUCCCGGCCUCCCGCCCCCGGGCGGGUCGGCGCCCGCCGGAGGAUAACCAAACUCUGAUUUAACGACGUUUCUUCUGAGUGGUACAAGCAAAUAAUCAAAACUUUUAACAACGGAUCUCUUGGUUCUGGCAUCGAUGAAGAACGCAGCGAAAUGCGAUAAGUAAUGUGAAUUGCAGAAUUCAGUGAAUCAUCGAAUCUUUGAACGCACAUUGCGCCCGCCAGCAUUCUGGCGGGCAUGCCUGUUCGAGCGUCAUUUCAACCCUCAAGCUCUGCUUGGUGUUGGGGCCCUACAGCUGAUGUAGGCCCUCAAAGGUAGUGGCGGACCCUCCCGGAGCCUCCUUUGCGUAGUAACUUUACGUCUCGCACUGGGAUCCGGAGGGACUCUUGCCGUAAAACCCCCAAUUUUCCAAAGGUUGACCUCGGAUCAGGUAGGAAUACCCGCUGAA
Molecule: ribosomal RNA, 529 nt
Filed under: Colletotrichum changpingense
Lineage: Eukaryota; Fungi; Ascomycota; Sordariomycetes; Glomerellales; Glomerellaceae
Description: eukaryotic LSU rRNA
Rfam family: 5.8S ribosomal RNA (bases 183-336)
Source: RNAcentral